UACACAUGCAAGUCGAACGGUAGAGUAGCAAUACUCGAGAGUGGCGAACGGGUGAGUAAUAUAUCGGAACGUGCCCAGUCGUGGGGGAUAACGUAGAGAAAUUUACGCUAAUACCGCAUACGAUCUAAGGAUGAAAGCGGGGGAUUCGCAAGAACCUCGCGCGAUUGGAGCGGCUGAUAUCAGAUUAGGUUGUUGGUGAGGUAAAAGCUCACCAAGCCGACGAUCUGUAGCUGGUUUGAGAGAACGACCAGCCACACUGGGACUGAGACACGGCCCAGACCCCUACGGGAGGCAGCAGUGGGGAAUUUUGGACAAUGGGCGAAAGCCUGAUCCAGCAAUGCCGCGUGCAGGAAGAAGGCCUUCGGGUUGUAAACUGCUUUUGUACGGAACGAAAAAGCCUUUUCUAAUAAAGAGGGCUCAUGACGGUACCGUAAGAAUAAGCACCGGCUAACUACGUGCCAGCAGCCGCGGUAAUACGUAGGGUGCGAGCGUUAAUCGGAAUUACUGGGCGUAAAGCGUGCGCAGGCAGUUCUAUAAGACAGAUGUGAAAUCCCCGGGCUCAACCUGGGAAUGGCAUUUGUGACUGUAGAGCUAGAGUACGGUAGAGGGGAUGGAAUUCCGCGUGUCGCAGUGAAAUGCGUAGAUAUGCGAGGACACCGAUGGCGAAGGCAUCCCCUGGACCUGUACUGACG
This 692-nucleotide ribosomal RNA is filed under the name uncultured bacterium. RNAcentral describes it as "bacterial SSU rRNA". It matches the Rfam family "Bacterial small subunit ribosomal RNA", at positions 50 to 745 of the family's 1533-position model. The record is from RNAcentral.